Long non-coding RNA from Acanthochromis polyacanthus (spiny chromis), 5939 nucleotides. RefSeq lists it as uncharacterized. The transcript has 2 exons. Lineage: Eukaryota; Metazoa; Chordata; Actinopteri; Pomacentridae. The record is from RefSeq and is a predicted model, not a curated record.
UCAGUCUCCUCCACACAUACUUUACCUUGGUCUGCUGUGAGCUCUGAAAGCCACCACAACACAUCAGAAAGUCACACUUUUCCCCGCCUCUUCUCCUCUGUCAUCAUGUCAUCAGGACCAUUACUUAAAUAAAGGCUACAUUAAAUGAGAAGUGGUACUUGUGUUUUGUUCUGGGCUGUGAUAAUGAAGAGAUGCUGACUGGUGAUAAAACAUGCUGGGCCUUCAAAAAAGGUAAUAAGAAUUUUGUGUGUAAUUUAACAAAAAAAAAAAAACUACAGUAAUGUGUCUCACAUAGUGACCUUGGAACUAUUUCUAAGUUAUAAACGAGUUCCAGUGAAAACUGUCACCAGUGUGUUCUGUGAAGUAAUGUGGACACAGAUUCUGUAAAUGUAACAUUAUGAUACUCACAAGUCCUCAUUCACCUCCAUAGUGCUGGAGUGGAGGAAAUAAGCUCCAGUUGAUAAACUGGACCUUUGAAGCCAAAUAAAGGUCAGACACAACACCUUGGUACAAAAGUGUGUGUGUGUGUGUGUGUGUGUGUGUGUGUGUGUGUGUGUGUGUGUGUGUGUGUGUGUGUGUGUGUGUGUGUGUGUGUGUGUGUGUGUGUGUGUGUGUGUGUGUGUAGCUCAAACUUCAAUGUUUUUUUUUUAGAAAUUAACAAAGAUUUGUGUAAUAGAAACUUAACAGCCAAUUUUAUUACAAUAAUUGAUUAGUUCUUUCUUAGUACUUUAUAUGUCUGAAAGGAAGAGACAUGUAUCGUGGUUAUACAAGGCUUAUAAAUAUCUUCAUGACUUAAACACAAGCUUGAAAAUACUGGAAACAUCCAUUUUCCUUCAGAAAUAAUGAAAAAGCGGAAACCACCUAAAAUAAAUUAAUCAUAUUACAGAGACCCAUAGACACUGGGAUUGUUUAAAUGUAUGUGCAAUGCAUUACAUUGCUUGGUUUCUGUUUAAUAAUGGGGACUCGUGGUCCAAAUGAUUAUUAUUUUUAAUUAGCACCAUCCUGUUUCAUUCGAGGUUAAAGUGCUGUCUUCAGACAGUCAGACUUAGUGUUUGUCUGUGUUGAGACACUGAGGACAGUGUAGAAAAAGUGCAGCAGGAAUACUAGAAACACAGGCCAGUUACAACAAUAACAGCACUUCCUCCUCAAAGGUGGGUGGUCACAUUUACAUUCCCUUUGCUCUGGCUGCUGGGACUUCUGAGUGGAGAGCCUGGGAACCUCCCGGUGCAUCCCACCCACCCUGGACUCCACCUCCCAGCCCCCUACCACCGAAAAACUUGUUAAAAGUCAGCAGAGCACCUUUCCCUUGACAAAAUGUGGGAAACAGCAAAAGUAAUUCCUUAACAUAGUUUCCCUGCUUCACUACGAGUUUUGUUUUUCUUCAGGACAGUUCCACAAUUUCAACAUUAUUUUCUGGUACUUUUUUUUUCAUUAAUUUGCUUGUAAAAAAAAAAAAAUCCAACGAAGGGGUAUUUUUUAUUCUGCAUUUUUGUGGGUUUGUAUGCGAGUCUCCUUUAAAGCCUAAAAAUGCACGAAUUAUUUCUAAAUCUAUACCAAUAUAUUAAAUAAUUGUGUCUAAUUAAGUAGAAGCGAACUGAUUACCACGGUUUAGUCCUGCUAGAUAUCAGAGAAUGCGUUAAAGAAUAACCAUUUUAUGACGGAGCUUUCGUAAUGUUAUGUAUUAUUUGCAUUAUUCACCUUGUGCGAAACGUUUGAGAGAGGUUGAAAAGAAUGGUUAAAUGAAACAAAAUUAUAAUUACACUAGUUUCCACGUGCUAAAGCAAAAUUAUAACGACACAGAAAUAUCCAUACAACAAUUUCAUUCAUUUUGUGCUCGUUAUUUAAUAGUGUCGCAGUUUAAUCUGUUUUUUUCUUUUAGGUUUUCCAUUAAUUUAAUAUUGAAAAAAAGAAAAGUUAAAUGAUAUUUGUGAUCAUAAAAGUCCUGGAACGUCGCCGUAAAACGGUAAGAGAGGUGCUGCUUGUCGAUCCCGGUGGUCUCUCACCUCUCCUCAGCAUUUCGGAGCUGAUGAAGAAUGAACGUGCGGUAGCAGCCUGGUAUCUUCCACACCAGAGAAAGGUUUCCACCAGCUCCAGUGAAAUUCAGCAUUCAGAGCCUCUCUCUCCUCCCCGCCCAGCGCCGCUCUGCACACAGAGAUGCACGCGGAAGGUUGCAGCCGAUAUAUGGGGAUGGUGGUGGUGAUGACGCUGGAGACAGGAAUAAUAGUCCUCCCUGCUCACUGUUUGUAUUGUAUGACCAUUUGUUGCCACCUGCUGGACAAAAAAAGUAAGCGACCGCAAGCAGGAAAGGCAUUUUUAUUAUCCCUCUGUGGUUCACUGAAACGCCGUUUGCUUUCUUCGUGCAUCCAUCAGACAUGUAUUCCUUUACAUGCAGAGGUGGCCACUACCUGGAGUGGUUUCCGGUUGAUAGAAUAGUGGUAGGACCAAGUGAACCUUGUCAGAAGAUACCAUUGUCAGAUGGUAGAAUUUCCUUCUGUCUAAUCAACCAGUUGUGUUGUGCCAAGGUAUAUGCAGCAAACAUCCCCAUUCACCUACUACAGUAAUCCAUAUUAUGACAAGAAUCAUUUACCUGUGAGGAAAAAAAUGACUGUCUAUCACUAACACAAGACAUAAAGGUCAGUCAGACCAGAACAAGAACUAGUUUCUUCAAGUGCAGUCACAAAAAGCAUCCACUACUGUGAUUAAACUGGCUCUCACGAAUGAGCAAGUCAGGAGAAAUGGACCAAGAGUUCCAUCUAGAUCAGUUGAGAAAUUCAUUUAGUUUGUAGUCUUGAAAACCUGCAAUUAGCAGCAGCUCCAAUUAGAACCAGCAUCAAUGUUUUUCAGAGUUCAAGCAGUAUACACGUCUCAACAUCAACUGCUGGGAGGAAACCGUAUGAAUCACAUUUAACAUCUGCAAUUAAAUCACUACUUUGGAAGACUGAAAAGAAGCAGGGAACCGUUUGGACAUAGAAACGGAAAUGGACUUUAGACCAAUGCAAACCUGAACUUUGGUCUUAUGAGUCCAGAUGGGAAAUUUCUGGUUUCUUGCAGCUGUCAUGUCUUUGUUAGACAAACAGAAGUUGAAUAGAUGGCAUCUGCACGUGUGCAUGUCUGCAUGUGAGGGGGUGGGGGUCAUGCAGUGACAUACCAGCAACACACCAUUCCAUCUGGUUUGAGCUCAGCAGGACCAUCAUAAGCUGAUUUUUCAGCUUUGACACAGUAGAUAAUAUAACAAGCCUUUAAAUAAAACACAUAUUUACAGAUUAAUUCAGUAAUUUCUAAACAGUUUGGAUCUUUCAAAUAAACAGCGUGCUGUUAGGCUACUGUAUCUCUGUGUGGUUCACCAGCUGCUAACCAGUGGUCAGGAGAACCCUCCAGAGGGUCGACACUGCCCAGAAAAUCAUCGGCUGCUCACUUUGUAUUCAUUUACUGUCCCACCCUCCACCUCAGCUGCCAGGUAGUGGCAGCUUCUCUUUCCCUUCCCCCGUCUCUCUCUCCCUCUCCUAGGUGAGUGUGGCAUGUAUCAUGUGGACAGGUGCUGCAAAGUGUAAUCAGUGGAGUCGACGGACAAGCAGUUGGGAGGGAUCACCACAUUACCUCCUCUUCUAAAAAAGCCAGAAGCUCCUACUACUUUUUGAAUUCAUGCCUGCUCGCCCUUGCCUGGAUUCCCCAGAUUACCGUCAACCACCAUGGCACCAGCCAAGACGCAAACCUCUGUUCGUCUUCAUGCCAACCUAUGCACCACCUGUCCGGACUCAGAUCAUCACCAGACCACACACCACCUCACCUGCUCCGUCUUCCCAUCACAAGUUCUCAGCCUCGAACAGUUAAGUUCCCUCAACCCUUCGUGAGUCAGUCCAGUUUUAUGUAUCCCUGUUCCUAGAGAGCCUAGUUAGUGUUUCCAGCGUCUUUUAUUCAGCAGUCGUGUAAUAAGUGUACCUGUUCUUUAAUUCAAUGUCCUGCCUUGAUAGUACCAGGUUCAGGUCAGUUUGCUAAAUCUAUUGUUUGAGUCUGGUUAAAAUUACCCUCUGGGCCUUCAAGGUGCCCUGUUCAGUUCGAGCAUUCAGUAUUUACCAUCCUGUUUUGAUGGCCUCUUGUUUGUCACAUCCUAUUGUAGUUUUUGUCUAUUUUGAGUGUGUACUCCCAAUGUCAGUCUGUCCUGUCUCUGUUGCUCUGCAUUUGAGUCUGACUUCGACAUUGUAGCAUUUAUUCAAACUAUAUACAUUUACAUACAACUGUACUUUGUAUUUAAUUUUGCACUACUUUAGACAUACUUUUCAUACAUGUCUAGAAAUGUGCAUUAUGCAGAAGUGUUCAGUUACAGUACUGUUUUUCUAAUUCUAAUAUACCAAAUGAGCUAUUUAUAAGAGCAAAAGCUAGCCCACUGUUCUCAUGGAAACACUAGCACAUACUACUUUUACUCUGCUAAGGAAUGCGAUGGAGUUAUGUGAUGAUUGACGUUUGUUUGUUAGAAACAUUACUUUAACCAAUUUAGAUGAAAUUUUCAAGGAAGGUCAGAAAUGACACAAGGACGAAGUAAUUAGAUUUUGUCAGUGAUGCGGUUUAUAGUUUGGAUCCACGGAUUUGAUCAAGAUUUCUGUAUCGUUGGGAGAUAGCGGCACACAAACUGCUGACGAUCACAAUGGGGAUCUUACUACAAAUCAACCACUGUAGACUUAUCUUGACUUAUCCAUCAGAAAUGAUGUAAGGAGCAACUGAUUAAAUUGUGGGGAUGUUUCUGAGUCCCAUCAAUUUUAGCCACUGGUUAGGUUACUCGAUUCGGUAUCCAUACGUCUCAUUUCAUGCUUUGCUUGUUGCGGGUUUGUUUUUGUUUUUUCAGGUUCCUUCUCAAAUUGAAUUCCCAACAUUGGAGGUUUCAUUUGGUGUAAUGAACCAUUUUUUUCAUUUUACCCUCUGCUAUCCCUACCCAGAUCCCAAAUAUGUUUGUUUUUCCUUUUCCUCAAGACAAGCGCGCUCUUAAAGGUGCAGCAACCUGAGCUGCCAUUGGCAGGGCAGCUCAAAUGAAAUUUCAUUGUAUAUGAAAGUGUGCAAUGACAAUAAAGGUUUGAUUGAUUGAUUGUUAUCACACACCUCAGCACAAGGUCAUUUUGUUUGUGGGUACAUCUAUAUUGAAUGACCACAUUCUAUGUUGCUGUGAUUUCUGAUUAUCAGUAAUUAAUAAAUAAAUGCUGUAUUUAGGACAAUGCCACAUGGGGGAAUGAACAACCUUAGAGGAGUACUGCGCUCUCUGAGUGCUUUUCUAUUUUUUUUUUAAUGUUUUCUUUCUAUUUGCACAUUUCUUAUUGUAUUUGAAAAAAAUGUCUCGCAGAGAGGCUCAAGAAUGGUGAAAACCUGAAAGAUCUUCACCAUUCUUGAGCCUCUCCACGACUCUGUGGACGGUCAUCCAGCUGAUGUUCAGCUGUUUGGCUAUGUCAGACCUGUUGUGGCCAGGAGAGCAGAUAUGUCAACUCUUUUGACUUCCAUCUUGAUACAACUUCACCGGAGAAAAAUUUGUAUAAAUGACACCUGCCUAUAAGGUAGAACUUUCAGUUUGUUUAAUGGAAUUUUUCACUCCGACAUGUAAACGUCUCUAAAGAUCAUGAAACCGAGUGUAACGGAACUUUUGCAAAGCCCGGUAGUCUGAUGUGGACUGAGAGCUCCAGAGAACAUGACCAUCCAGCUGUGGUUGUCUGAGGUGAAGAGUUUCAUCUCCUUUAUCACUGAUGUCCUCCUCAUCCUUCCAGUAAUAACAAUAAUGCUGCAGAUUCAGGUCCUUUCUUUAUAAUAUGACUUGUCUUGUGACUGUUCAGGAUUUAAACUUCACUGUAAGAAACACAUUAUUUAUUUCAUCAAUUUAUUACAUGUGUUUACAUCUUUACAGUUCAGUUGUCAAAUAAUGUAGUUUUUAAAUGUGCAAUAAAGGUAAUAAUGAAACUCCA